UUUCACCUCUAUCUCCGUAUUUAAUCAAUAGGACCACUGUCACUCGUUGGCGACUUGACCAGGCUGGUGCUGGAGAAGAGGGGAGUGAAAAAAGAGGAAUUCAUGUCAAAAACAGAGAGGAGAGGAGAGGAGAGGAGAGGAGGUGAAUAAACCUAAGCAAAGUUAUUCAGAUCAGAAAAAAAAUUCUCUGAACUGGUUCGACCAUUUUCAGUCCAACCGGCCGGUUUUCUCUGAUUGAAGACGGUCUAACCUUCCAGCGGUUUUAUGUGACGAAUCAGACGGAAAGAACUAGUUCGUGGCCGAUCCGGUUUUAAAAUUCCCCACCUCAAUAUUUUUGAUCUUUCCCUCUCUUUCUUCUCAAUCUGUGUUCUACUUCACAAUCCCCUUUUUCAAGCUCUAUUCUAUUUCUCCGUUCUUGUUUAUCAUUCUCUAAACCUGCUCCACCUCAUUGUACUCCACAUGUAAAUUAAUUCUGAGUUGAAGGGGGUUGUGGUGAAGAGAAGGAUGAAGAAACAGGGGCUGAUGCUCAGCUGGAGGUGUUCAUACAACGAUUCCUAAAUAGCAGAAAAAUGAGGAUUUGAAACACCGAUUUGACCGGGCCUGGUUUAUCCGGGCUAAAACAGCUCAAUAGCUUGACAACAAGCGGGUCCUGCCCAGACCGAUCGGUUUCUCCUGAAAAUUUACAUGAGUAAUGGUAUAUUUUUUUGAAGCUAGCAGGCUAUCAAGUUCCUUACUCAUCAGCACCUUCCUCCUCAUUUUUGUUGAAGGUUGAGCAAACCUGUAGAAGAAUAAAUAGGGGUAAACGCAAGAUGGGAGAUAAUGACCGAGAUGAGCUCGCACUUCUGUUCUGUGCAGACAAAUGCAACUACUAUUAGAUGAAAGAGUUGCAGAGAAAGGCACUAGAGAGGAACAAGAGAGACGCAAUAGAGAAUUAGUACCAGAUAUGAAAUGUUUAAUCAUGGUAAUAUGGUUACCGUCCCUGCAGGUGCUUGUAUUGAUGCUAACAACUUAGAGUUAAAAAUACCUCUGAUCAGCUGAGUUUAGCAAAACCCUUUCGCCGGAAGAGCCACAGAGGAUGCAAACCGCCACCUCACAAUAUUCAUGGGAAUAACCAACACUCUUAUGCUAAAUGGCGUCGACGAGGAAGCAAUAAAGGUAAGACUUUUUUUCCUUUUCCUUAAUUGAUUUGACAAAAGAGGUAUGAAUGUUGCCAGCAGAUAAAACUUCCACUUGGAAGGAUAUAAUGGCGCUCUUCCUCGACAAAUACUAUCCGCUAAGCACUAUCUUAAAGCUAAAGAGUGAGAUUUUUCAAUUCAUGCAAGGACACGAUGAGCCUCUUAGUGAAGUUCUCGCACGCUUUAAAGCUUACUUUCGAAAAUGUCCCAAUCAUGGUUUCGAAUUAGACUAUAAGGUGUGGAUCCUCUAUAAUGGAUUUACUGAAAAAAUUGUUGCUAUGUUGGAUUCAGACGAGAACAGAGGACUAAGGAAGAGUGGAGUAGGUGCCAUGGAGGUCAUAGACGCAAAUAGCAGAUGAUGGUCAAAAGAGAGACACAACUUGACGAGGGUGGCAGCCGUGGAUGAAGAGGAUAACAUGUCCUUCGCCAAAGAAUUAGCAUCCUUGAGAGUUAGGGUCGACAAAAGGGAUGGACCAAAGAACGAAGAAACCAUUCAACCUAUAUCAAUUAUCGCCCUUCAUCAAAAUGAUACCCCUCCUCUUGAGGACGUUAACUAUGUCCAAAAUGGGAGUGGUCCCAAUAGGCCUUAUCUUAACAAUUAUCACCCUAGUUAGGGGGCGGUGGUUAAAAUAAUUAUAAUGGGAAUCGUCCACAUCCAAAUAUCUCUCAUAUUCUAACAAUAACUUUCUCCAACUGCCUGCAUGAUUUAAUGUGAGAAAAUGGGGAGUAGUGGAUCCACUAAAAAAGGAAGAAAAGUAAGAGCAAACCAUCAAAAAGAUUUUGGAAGUGUUAGGAGAAGAUAGAAAAGUCAACAAAAUCAAAAUCGGUGUCGUUGAAGCAAGAUUGAACAACCUCGAGGCUGGGUUGAAUACCAUUGCCUCCACCUUCUUGAUCAUCAAAACUCAAAUGGAUCAAGUUCAAAAGAAGGCAGAGGAGAAGAAAGCUAAAAUUGUUGCACGGAUCGCCGAAAUCAAUAAAAAAAUGGGUUACCAAAAGCCGCUGGAUGAACCAGCACCAAGGCAUGAAGAUCGAGGACUGUGGGCAUCCCAACGGGCCGCUGGACUCAACACAGCGGGCCGCUGAGAAGACAGAAGCAAUGCCUUCAAAUUAGCCUGUGCAACACAAUGCGAUACUUUUGCCCUUCCAACCUAAGAUGAAGUUCAAGCUUGAGAAGUAGUUUAAGCAAUUUCUUAAUAUGUUUUGUAAGGUUCAUAUUAACCGUUCCUCUUAUUGGUGCAUUACAGGAAAUUCCUAGGUAUGCGAAGCUAUUGAGGGAAGUAGUGAUGAAGAAGUAAAAACUCAAGUAAACCGACCUUAAGUUGCCAGUACACAGCAGUGAGAUGAUCCAAAAGCAAAGGGCCAUGAAGCAAACUGAUCCAGACCAAUUCAUCAUUCUUUGCUCCAUUGAAGAAGGCAAAGUAGACAAAGCUCUCUGUGACCGGGAGCUAGCCUCAACAUUAUGCCUAUGGAGUAGUACGAAAAGCCUAACUUUGGGCCACUCAAAUCCACAAACGUUUGCUUAAAGAUGGCCGACAACACUACAACAAAAGUUGUGGGGUAAUUGAGAGUGUAUUGGUAAAAGUAGAUGACUUCAUAUUUCUUGCAGAUUUAUGUGUUGGAAGUUGUCCUUUUUUUUAUUUUGUUCUUUUUUUCUUUUAAAUCGUUUUUAUAUUUUUUUUGUUAGAACUAUAAGAAAACAUAAUAUAAACUAAUUGUUUUAAUUUCUAAAAACGAAAUAUUUAAUUAGAAAAUCUAAGCAUUUAUUUUUUA
Long non-coding RNA from Salvia splendens (bonfire salvia), 2945 nucleotides. RefSeq lists it as uncharacterized. The record is from RefSeq and is a predicted model, not a curated record. The transcript is spliced from 3 exons. Lineage: Eukaryota; Viridiplantae; Streptophyta; Magnoliopsida; Lamiales; Lamiaceae.